Molecule: non-coding RNA, 546 nt
Organism: Lonchura striata (white-rumped munia)
Lineage: Eukaryota; Metazoa; Chordata; Aves; Passeriformes; Estrildidae
Source: RefSeq, a predicted model, not a curated record
GGCUCCGGUGGCUCAGGAGGACGCUGGUCCGGAGGCAGGAUCCGAGGGCGCUCCUGCUCAGGUGUUCGGUUCAGAAGCCUCAUCUCAGACUGCCUAACCAAAUCCUCUUGACCUAAGAAGAUGAAAAAGAAGAGCUCUGGAAUAAAAGUAUACAAGUAACAGGACCAGAAAGAAAAGGACUCCUUCCUGGAAAAACAUAGAGACAUCUUUCUGUGCACAUCUGGGUAAACAGCAAUAUAGGUAUGAAUGAUUCCUUGUCUAUUUGCUUCGGUUUUUUUGCUUAGUCACUAUUAAUGACUAAUAGUAGUCUCUCAUCAGGCUGUUAUGUUAUAAAAGCAUAAAGAUAACUAUCCUUUGGACUCUUUAAACUUCUAAUGUAGUUUCAUUGAUGGGAGAAAAAAUUACAGAAAGUCACUCUUGAAAAUGCUGCCAAAACUUUAGCCUAAACAUAUGGAUUAGCAGAAUCUUGCAGCUGGUUUACAGUGAGAAACCAGAUGAAUGGAGCAAAAGGCAAUAAAGUGCAAUAAAGUAUGAUUAAAAUAACUA